This 434-nucleotide ribosomal RNA is filed under the name uncultured Lachnospiraceae bacterium. RNAcentral describes it as "partial 16S ribosomal RNA". It matches the Rfam family "Bacterial small subunit ribosomal RNA", at positions 341 to 792 of the family's 1533-position model. The record is from RNAcentral. Lineage: Bacteria; Bacillati; Bacillota; Clostridia; Lachnospirales; Lachnospiraceae.
ACGGAAGGCAGCAGUAGGGACUAUUGGUCAAUGGGGGAAACCCUGAACCAGCGACGCCGCGUGAGUGAAGAAGUAUUUCGGUAUGUAAAGCUCUAUCAGCAGGGACGAUAAUGACGGUACCUGACUAAGAAGCCCCGGCUAACUACGUGCCAGCAGCCGCGGUAAUACGUAGGGGGCAAGCGUUAUCCGGAUUUACUGGGUGUAAAGGGAGCGUAGGUGGCCAUGCAAGUCAGAUGUGAAAUCCCGGGGCUCAACCCCGGAGCUGCAUUUGAAACUGCGUAGCUAGAGUGCAGGAGAGGUAAGCGGAAUUCCUAGUGUAGCGGUGAAAUGCGUGGAUAUUAGGAGGAACACCAGUGGCGAAAGCGGCCUGCUGGACUGCAACUGACACUGAGGCUCGAAAGCGUGGGGAGCAAACAGGAUUAGAUACCCUGGUA